CCUACGGGAGGCAGCAGUGGGGAAUAUUGGGCAAUGGACGCAAGUCUGACCCAGCAAUGCCGCGUGAAGGAAGAAGGCUUUCGGGUUGUAAACUUCUUUUAAGGGGGAAGAGCAGAAGACGGUACCUCUUGAAUAAGCAACGGCUAACUACGUGCCAGCAGCCGCGGUAAUACGGAGGUGGCAAGCGUUGUCCGGAUUUACUGGGUGUAAAGGGCGUGUAGCCGGAGAGACAAGUCAGAUGUGAAAUCCACGGGCUCAACCCGGGAACUGCAUUUGAAACUGUUUCGCUUGAGUGUCGGAGAGGUAAUCGGAAUGCGUGGUGUAGCGGUGAAAUGCGUAGAUAUAAGACAGAACACCGGUUGCGAAGGCAGAUUAC
RNAcentral lists this ribosomal RNA (376 nucleotides) under uncultured bacterium. Its description in RNAcentral is "partial 16S ribosomal RNA". It matches the Rfam family "Bacterial small subunit ribosomal RNA", at positions 338 to 729 of the family's 1533-position model. The record is from RNAcentral.